AUGGCGAGUUUCCCCCGAAUCUUGACCCUGACUGACCCCUAUGAUGUCACUCGUCACCUGGUCAGUGUCUGUCAGUCAGUUACUCCGACGUCGAAGAUGUCUGACAAGAAACGAAAAUAUCUUUUUGGCCAUGAAAAACGACAAAAGAAGAGAAGCAAGAAGUUAAAGUAUCCAGGUAAUCCCCAGAAAGUCUCCAGUGGACUUUCCCAUUCAUUUCCCGGGACAGGGUGACAACAAGAGUGAUGAUAUUCCCUCUAAAACCCACUUUCAACAUGAGGAGGAAAAAGCGCCAUUACCCAUGACAUCUUUCAGUUUCCCCUCUGCUUCUCUCCCUCUGUUGGAGUCAGAGGGGAACUGAAACUGAAAAUAAGGCUGAUAGAAAGAAAUAGGGUAGAAAUGGAGAAGAGGAGAGAGAGGGGUGCGUAUGCUGCAGUACAUAAACAUGAGAGCAGCUGGUGAUCUCAGCUGGAGAUCUGCAACCCCAAUCACAGCACAGACUGUUCACUUCACUGUCUGCCAUCACUGACGGCCUUCCAGCUCACUAAACUCAACCGAUACCGCAGGUGUUUCAUAGCUGCUUUUAGACAUGUAAACACUCCUGUAGCCCUCGUGUUAAAUUACUUAUCUGUAACUCUAGUGUCAGUGUAGACAGCUUUGUUGACUGUAAUGUGAUGAGCUCUGUUGCAUCAUUAUGUCUUUAAAGGAAAUUUCUGGAUCGCUACAUUCAUAAAAAUGCAAAUGCAGUAAUGCAUUUACAAUGAAAGUCUAAGGGGAAAAGCACUGCACCUAAAUAACAUUAAAAUACCAGUUUCCUAAAGUAUGAGUGUGAUAAAUUUACUCACAAACCUUGCAAAGUUAAAUGCAUUGUUUCAGCUGAACAUGAACAUGUAAAGACAGUAGGUAACCUAGAUGUUACAGCAUCUGUGCAAACUUACCUGCAGUAAAUCAUGAUGUUUCCUCUCACUCUGAACCUGAUGAAUCAGCAGCUUCACUUUUGUGUAUUUAUACUUAAGAACAGACCCAGAGCUGUUGAAAAGUCUUAUAAAAAGCUAAGAAUUCAGUCAUUUGGAAUAUGUGCUAAUAAAAAGACGAGUGAUUUAUUUUAAAUAGUUGCACUUUGGGUUCCCUUGCUGGGUUUCCUUUUUUCUCCUCACUCUGGGAGAAAGCGACCUUCAACGGCCAGUUGCUGACAACAUAGCUAUUCCAAUGUGGCUAUAAUGGAAUCAUCUAGUUGGGAAUUAGAGACAACCCCAUAACCCAGACGCUUUUGCCUAUGAGUUUUAGAAAGCAUUUGAGUAUUUAGGACAUUUUCCACUUUGUGUCGGUGGGCAAAAGUAACAAAACCAGACCCACAAGAGAAGCUGGUUCUACUGUCUCUGUACACCUGCACAAAACUAACUGGUCUAGAUGGGAGGAAAGUGGCAAGCAACACUUGCUCGGGCACAUGUGCAUGCAAAUUACCCACAAAUAAAGGGUUUUCACCUGAACUGUAAGGUGUGGUAGAUUUGACUGUUCUUCAAAGACGAUUCUUGUCAGAAAGCUCUGACCUCACAGUCACUGUGUAGAACUGACAGCAGCUGAGUACAAAUUGUUGUCACAACUGUUUUAUCUGCAAAGAAAUCAACCCCUUAAGGCUGGA
Molecule: long non-coding RNA, 1639 nt
Organism: Cyprinus carpio carpio
Lineage: Eukaryota; Metazoa; Chordata; Actinopteri; Cypriniformes; Cyprinidae
Source: Ensembl